AUUCAAAACAUCUGGGGCUGCACGGUGGCUCAUGCCUGUAAUCCCAGCAGUUUGGGAGGUCAACAUGGGUGAAUCACUUGAGGUCAGAAGUUUGGGACCAGCCCAGCCAAUGUGGAAAGGAUUUCUUAAUCAAGACUCCAAAACAUAAACUCUAAAGAGAAAAACCAAUGACUUAGCUCGGGCAUCAAAAUUAAACAUUGAUUCUCAAAGGUGACCAAGUUAACAGGCAGGGGACACACAGCCACUCCAAGAGGCCCUGAUCAGGAAGUGAAGACAACAUGACUGUGGAGAAGAGAGCCGGGAAGGGAAGAAGCUCAAUAAUGAGUGCAUUCUAGGCCAGCUUCCCCAGUGAAGAUCCUCACAAACGAUUACAUGUAAACGUGAGAGGCACCCAGUUUGGAUUCCAGACCAGAAGAAAUCCAGGAAUGGAUUUAAAAAGGAAAGCUGGUUCCCAUCUCCCUGGAGAAUUUAUCUUUAUUAAAGAUGCAAAGGAUCCAGUGGAGGUCUCUGAGGCCCUGGGAGAUGGUAGAGCCACACCAUGAAGGUGCCUGGGUCCCUGAAUGACUGCAUGGAGCUCACUCUACAUUGGACUGUGACACAAGCAAGAAAGGUAGACACUUAGGAGUGGAAUUGCUGAGUCAUACAGUAAUUCUAUGUUUAACAUUUUGAGGAGCUGCCAAACUGUUUCCAAAAUGGCUGCAACAUUCUAUAUUUCCAUCAGCAAGAAGGGCCCAUGUGGCAAGGAACUAAGGGCAGUCUCUGGCCAAAAGCCCACAAGUAACUGAAUUCUGCCAAUAACCAUGAGUUUGGAAGUGGAUCCUUCCCCAUUCGAGUCUCAGAUGAGUCCCCAGCCCUGGCCAACAUCUUCAUGUGCUGUGAGAGACCAUUAAGCAGAGGACCCAGCUAAGCUCUGCCCAGAUGCUCAAUCCACAGAAAAAGAUACUAAGUGUGUGUUGUUUUAAGCUGCUACAUUUGCAGUGGUUUGAUAUGCAGCAAUAGAUAACUGAUACUGCUGUUAAUUGCUUUCUAUUACAAUCAGCUGGAAUAACUGCCCUUGUGCCUACAAUCAGAGAUGUAUUUUGGGAUCAAUUCCCAGACCUGAGAUUGUUCAGUCUAAGGGUAAGGAUAUUUAAUGUGGAAAAAUAACACUAAAUUGUCCUCCAAAAAUAUUAUCAAGUGACAAUCAUGCAAACAGUAUGAAAGUUCCUACUUCUCUCCAUGUUCUUGCCAAAUGAAGUGUCAUUGAUCAUUGAAAAAAUAUCAGUUUGAGAAAAAUCAGUACUGCAUUGCUUUGAUUGCAUUUUCCUGAUCACUUAUCAGGGUGAGCAUCUUUUUAACGAAUCCCUUGGCCAUUUAUUUUCCUCUUUCUUUUGAGACUUCUCUCUUGAUAUUUUUAGCUUUUAUCCUAUUUUAAUUGGAUUUCAAUUGGAUUGAACAACUAGAAUGAUAGAAUGAUAUCUGGGGGGCACACAAUGGCCAUUGGUGAUGCUGCUGUUGAUUACCCAAAGUGCUAUCCCAUUUCUUCCUGUGUAUUUACUACUAUUUCUCUUGCAGUUAAUAAGCAAUUUAUGGGAAGAUUCUUUGAGACCAUUCAAAUAUCCUGCACCUCAUUAAAAUAUCCCCCUGGAUUUAGCAGCCUUUGAUGAUUCUUGCCUGAACAAAACUUUAUUAUGGUAGAUGUAAAAUGAAGAUUUUCAUUUCUAGCACUUCUUCCACAUUUACCAGCUACAUUCAGCCUUCUUGUGGAUAAGACUCUCCCCUUUCUCCCAAAUGUUUAUUGUUUUUAUUAGUAUGGACUCACGAUUUCCUGUUCUUCUCAAUGGCCUAUAAUUUAUUACUAUCUUUAAUUAUAUUAGUGCUCAAAUUUUCCCAGUUUGGCCAGUGGGAUCCCCUCCAAGUUGGCUAUUAUUUCCUUGUGACAUACCCACUUUUUCUUUCUUUCUCUUUCUUUUUCUUUCCUUUUAAAACUCACUUCUUUACUUCCUGCUCCAGCCCUGGAAUCAGCCAUUUCUCUGAAAAACUGUGGUUCUUUCAAGUGGACAAAGGUAUUAGAGACCAAAAUUUGGGCACAAGAUAUGCACUUUAACAAGGACCCACUUUAAGUGCAGUUUAGUGAAUUUGAAUGAAUGCAUGAACUUCUGUAACUACUACCACAAUCAAGAUAUAGAGUUUCUGUCACCUCUCAAAGCCUCCUUUUCUUGCUUGCUCAUAUGCAAUUACCUCUGUCCAAAAUGACCCUUUCCCUUUCCUCUACACACUUGGCAAAGCCAUGAUUGAACAUUUAUUCCUUCUUAGAUUUUGUUCCAUUUUCCUCAGCAAAGGUUCUUUGUUUCCUCUUCUUCAUGCUCACAAAAGAGAGAGUAAAAGUGCUUGCUCAACAGUUCUUCAACUGCUCUAAUAAAGAUUGAUUCUCUUACCA
This 2419-nucleotide long non-coding RNA is filed under the name Homo sapiens (human). RNAcentral's name for it is "long independently transcribed non-coding RNA 2030, transcript variant 1 (LINC02030)". The record is from RNAcentral. Lineage: Eukaryota; Metazoa; Chordata; Mammalia; Primates; Hominidae.